UUGAAAGGGAAACGAUUGAAGUCAGUCGUACCGACGAGAAAUCAGCUCUUCGAGUGCGAACUUGUGGGCGUGCGUGAGUCUUUAACGGGCCUCGCUGUUUGCAAUUUUGUGCUUUUUGGGUGUACUUUUUCGUAUGGUAGGCCAACGUCAGUUUCGAUCACCGUAAAAUGAUCGGAGGAAUGUAGCUUCGAUCUCGUAUUGAAGUGUUAUAGCCUCUGGUAGAUGCGGUGACCGAAACUGAGGAUUGCAACGAAUACCCUUUUGGGCUAUCCGUCUGGCCUCUGAAAGUUGCUUAGGUGCCGAAAGCGUGCUUACGGCUAUUUAAGUUGACGGUCAACAGGCUAGAACGUGGUUACAUCGUUAAGGAUGUUGACGUA
Molecule: ribosomal RNA, 377 nt
Filed under: uncultured Glomeromycotina
Lineage: Eukaryota; Fungi; Glomeromycota
Description: LSU rRNA
Source: RNAcentral